This 520-nucleotide ribosomal RNA is filed under the name uncultured archaeon. Its description in RNAcentral is "bacterial SSU rRNA". It matches the Rfam family "Archaeal small subunit ribosomal RNA", at positions 354 to 874 of the family's 1478-position model. The record is from RNAcentral.
AUGGCCCGAAAAGUGUGAUAGGGUUAUCCCGAGUGCUGUCCGAUGAGGAUGGCUUUUCCCCGGUGUAAGGCGUUGGGAGAAUAAAGGGGGGGCAAGACCGGUGUCAGCCGCCGCGGUAAUACCAGCCCCCUGAGUGGUAGGGAUGAUUAUUUGGCCUAAAGCGUCCGUAGCCGGCUUAGCCAGUCUUUCGUGAAAUCCAGUGACAUAAUCAUUGGGCGUGCGAGAGAUACUACUAGGCUUGAGGACGGGAGAGGUCGACGGUAUUUCGGGGGUAGGGGUAAAAUCCUAUAAUCCUCGGAGGACCACCAGUGGCGAAGGCGGUCGACUAGAACGUGCCUGACGGUGAUGGACGAAAGCUGGGGGAGCAAACCGGAUUAGACACCCGGGUAGUCCCAGCUGUAAACGACGCGGGCUAGGUGUUGGGGCAGCUACGAGCUGCUCCAGUGCCGCAGAGAAGUCAUUAAGCCCGCCGCCUGGGAAGUACGGUCGCAAGACUGAAACUUAAAGGAAUUGGCGGGGG